CUAAGCGUACACGGUGGAUGCCCUGGCAGUCAGAGGCGAUGAAGGACGUGCUAAUCUGCGAUAAGCGCCGGUAAGGUGAUAUGAACCGUUAUAACCGGCGAUUUCCGAAUGGGGAAACCCAGUGUGACUCGUCACACUAUCAUUAACUGAAUCCAUAGGUUAAUGAGGCGAACCGGGGGAACUGAAACAUCAAAGUACCCCGAGGAAAAGAAAUCAACCGAGAUUCCCCCA
RNAcentral lists this ribosomal RNA (231 nucleotides) under Salmonella enterica subsp. enterica serovar Senftenberg. RNAcentral's name for it is "partial 23S ribosomal RNA". It matches the Rfam family "Bacterial large subunit ribosomal RNA", at positions 12 to 242 of the family's 2925-position model. Lineage: Bacteria; Pseudomonadati; Pseudomonadota; Gammaproteobacteria; Enterobacterales; Enterobacteriaceae. The record is from RNAcentral.